UACAGAGGGGGCAAGCGUUGUUCGGAAUUACUGGGCGUAAAGGGCGCGUAGGCGGCCUGUUAAGUCGAACGUGAAAUCCCUGGGCUCAACCCAGGAACUGCGUCCGAUACUGGCAGGCUUGAAUUCGGGAGAGGGAUGCGGAAUUCCAGGUGUAGCGGUGAAAUGCGUAGAUAUCUGGAGGAACACCGGUGGCGAAGGCGGCAUCCUGGACCGAGAUUGACACUGAUGAGCGAAAGCUAGGGGAGCAAACGGG
Molecule: ribosomal RNA, 253 nt
Filed under: uncultured bacterium
Lineage: Bacteria
Description: partial 16S ribosomal RNA
Rfam family: Bacterial small subunit ribosomal RNA
Source: RNAcentral